AGGUUGUUGGUGUAACGGUAGCAUAAGAGUCUCCAAAACUUUUGGUCGGGGUUCGAAUCCCCGGCAGCCUG
Molecule: transfer RNA, 71 nt
Filed under: Methylotenera sp.
Lineage: Bacteria; Pseudomonadati; Pseudomonadota; Betaproteobacteria; Nitrosomonadales; Methylophilaceae
Description: tRNA-Trp
Rfam family: tRNA
About the family: Transfer RNA (tRNA) molecules are approximately 80 nucleotides in length. Their secondary structure includes four short double-helical elements and three loops (D, anti-codon, and T loops). Further hydrogen bonds mediate the characteristic L-shaped molecular structure. tRNAs have two regions of fundamental functional importance: the anti-codon, which is responsible for specific mRNA codon recognition, and the 3' end, to which the tRNAs corresponding amino acid is attached (by aminoacyl-tRNA synthetases). tRNAs cope with the degeneracy of the genetic code in two manners: having more than one tRNA (with a specific anti-codon) for a particular amino acid; and 'wobble' base-pairing, i.e. permitting non-standard base-pairing at the 3rd anti-codon position.
Source: RNAcentral